This 476-nucleotide ribosomal RNA is filed under the name uncultured bacterium. Its description in RNAcentral is "bacterial SSU rRNA". It matches the Rfam family "Bacterial small subunit ribosomal RNA", at positions 8 to 526 of the family's 1533-position model. The record is from RNAcentral.
AGAGUUUGAUCAUGGCUCAGAACGAACGCUGGCGGCAUGCCUAACACAUGCAAGUCGAACGCCUGUAGCAAUACAGGAGUAGCGGACGGGUGAGUAACGCGUGGGGACCUGCCUCGAAGUUCGGAAUAACCGCGGGAAACUGCGGCUAAUACCGGAUGUGGCCUGAGGGCCAAAGGGGAAACUCGCUUCGAGAGGGGCCCGCGUCCGAUUAGCUAGUUGGUGAGGUAACGGCUCACCAAGGCGACGAUCGGUAGCUGGUCUGAGAGGAUGAUCAGCCACACUGGGACUGAGACACGGCCCAGACUCCUACGGGAGGCAGCAGUGGGGAAUAUUGGACAAUGGGGGCAACCCUGAUCCAGCAAUGCCGCGUGAGUGAUGAAGGCCUUCGGGUUGUAAAGCUCUUUUGGCGGGGACGAUGAUGACGGUACCCGCAGAAUAAGCCCCGGCUAACUUCGUGCCAGCAGCCGCGGUAAUUC